Molecule: ribosomal RNA, 773 nt
Filed under: uncultured bacterium
Lineage: Bacteria
Description: bacterial SSU rRNA
Rfam family: Bacterial small subunit ribosomal RNA
Source: RNAcentral
AGAGUUUGAUCAUGGCUCAGGACGAACGCUGGCGGCGUGCUUAACACAUGCAAGUCGAACGGAAAGGCCCUUCGGGGUACUCGAGUGGCGAACGGGUGAGUAACACGUGGGUGAUCUGCCCUGCACUCUGGGAUAAGCCUGGGAAACUGGGUCUAAUACCGGAUAGGACCGCAUGCUUCAUGGUGUGUGGUGCAAAGCUUUUGCGGUGUGGGAUGAGCCCGCGGCCUAUCAGCUUGUUGGUGGGGUAAUGGCCUACCAAGGCGACGACGGGUAGCCGGCCUGAGAGGGUGACCGGCCACACUGGGACUGAGAUACGGCCCAGACUCCUACGGGAGGCAGCAGUGGGGAAUAUUGCACAAUGGGCGCAAGCCUGAUGCAGCGACGCCGCGUGAGGGAUGACGGCCUUCGGGUUGUAAACCUCUUUCAAUAGGGACGAAGCGCAAGUGACGGUACCUAUAGAAGAAGGACCGGCCAACUACGUGCCAGCAGCCGCGGUAAUACGUAGGGUCCGAGCGUUGUCCGGAAUUACUGGGCGUAAAGAGCUCGUAGGUGGUUUGUCGCGUUGUUCGUGAAAACUCACAGCUUAACUGUGGGCGUGCGGGCGAUACGGGCAGACUAGAGUACUGCAGGGGAGACUGGAAUUCCUGGUGUAGCGGUGGAAUGCGCAGAUAUCAGGAGGAACACCGGUGGCGAAGGCGGGUCUCUGGGCAGUAACUGACGCUGAGGAGCGAAAGCGUGGGGAGCGAACAGGAUUAGAUACCCCGGUAGUCCAA